UUCGCCCUUAGAGUUUGAUCCUGGCUCAGGACGAACGCUGGCGGCGCGCUUAACACAUGCAAGUCGAGCGAUGAAAUCUUGACAGAACCCUUCGGGGGGGAAGAUAAGAUGGAUUAGCGGCGGACGGGUGAGUAACACGUGAGUAACCUGCCUUAGACAUUGGGAUAGCCUCGGGAAACCGGGAUUAAUACCAAAUGAAAUCACAUAUGCACAUGCAUAAAUGAUCAAAGCUCCGGCGGUCUAAGAUGGACUCGCGUCCCAUUAGCUAGUUGGUGAGGUAACGGCCCACCAAGGCGACGAUGGGUAGCCGGCCUGAGAGGGUGAACGGCCACAUUGGAACUGAGAAACGGUCCAAACUCCUACGGGAGGCAGCAGUGGGGAAUAUUGCACAAUGGAGGGAACUCUGAUGCAGCGACGCCGCGUGAACGAAGAAGGCUUUCGAGUCGUAAAGUUCUUUUAUAUGGGAAGAUAAUGACGGUACCAUAAGAAAAAGCCCCGGCUAACUACGUGCCAGCAGCCGCGGUAAUACGUAGGGGGCUAGCGUUGUCCGGAAUCACUGGGCGUAAAGGGUUCGCAGGCGGAAAUGCAAGUCAGGUGUAAAAGGCAGUAGCUUAACUACUGUAAGCAUUUGAAACUGCAUAUCUUGAGAAGAGUAGAGGUAAGUGGAAUUUUUAGUGUAGCGGUGAAAUGCGUAGAUAUUAAAAAGAAUACCGGUGGCGAAGGCGACUUACUGGGCUCAUUCUGACGCUGAGGAACGAAAGCGUGGGUAGCAAACAGGAUUAGAUACCCUGGUAGUCCACGCUGUAA
This 807-nucleotide ribosomal RNA is filed under the name uncultured bacterium. RNAcentral's name for it is "bacterial SSU rRNA". It matches the Rfam family "Bacterial small subunit ribosomal RNA", at positions 1 to 805 of the family's 1533-position model. The record is from RNAcentral.